This 2608-nucleotide ribosomal RNA is filed under the name marine metagenome. Its description in RNAcentral is "bacterial LSU rRNA". It matches the Rfam family "Archaeal large subunit ribosomal RNA", at positions 15 to 2609 of the family's 2987-position model. The record is from RNAcentral.
AUGAUAUCAGGUGGAUGACUUGGCUCAAUAUGUUGAUGAAGGGCGUGGCUAACUACGAUAUGCUCUGGCAAGUGGUAUGCACACUUUGAACCAGAGAUUCCCGAAUCUGACAUCAGCUUGAAACCGUUAAGGUUGAGUAACUCAGGGAAUUGAAACAUCUUAGUACCUGAAGGAAAAGAAAUCAAUUGAGAUGCUGUGAGUAAGAGCGACUGAAAACAGCACAAUGCAAACUGAAUUCUUUAUGGAAACAUAAAGAAGAUGUGGUGUUAUAAGACUACUUUUUAUCCUAGCUAGGGAACUUGAAAUCUUCUGGAAAGAAGUACCUUAGAAGGUGAUAGUCCUGUAAAGAUAACUUAGUGGAUUUUAGUAGUAUCUUGAGUAGUGUUUUUUGGAUUUGAAGCACGAAUUUAGGAGGCAUUAAUUUCUAACAUUAAAUACAUUUUGAGUCCGAUAGCGUACUAGUACUGUGAAGGAAAGUUGAAAAGAACCUUUAAUAGGGAGUUCAAAGAUCCUGAAACCUGAUAGCUAUGGUGGGAUAGUGCUCUUUGGAGUUCUAUCGUGCGUUUCGAAUAACGUGCCAGGGAGUUUAUCUAAGUAGCGAGAAUAAUCUUUAAUAGAGUAUUCGUAGGGAAACCGAAUUUUCGCAGCUUGCAAUGAGAAAGGUAUUAACGUGCCUAAGUUAUUUGGAUAUGACCCGAAGCCGAGCGAUCUAACCCUGGGUAAGGUGAAGCAAGGAUUAAACCUUGUGGAGGCCUGAAGAGGUGCUGCGGACAUGCGUUCUUCUAACCUGGGGCUAGGGGUGAAAAGCCAAUCGAGCUCGGUGAUAGCUGGUUCCUAUCAAGUUUGACCGUAGUCAAGUCUCGAAUGAAGUAACUAUGAAUGUAGAGAUACGGAUUAAGAAUUUAGGCGUCGAAAGAUGUCGGUUUUUUGUCCAACUCCGAAUUUUAUAGUACUAAAGAUUUCGGGAAACGGUGGUCAGGGGUAAGCUCUGAUCACGCGAGGGGAACAACCCAAACUACAGUUAAGGUCCCAAAAUAUCAACUAAGUGUUAAAGGGUGAAGAAUGUUUAUGCCCUAAGACAGCGAGGAGGUUGGCUUAGAAGCAGCCAUCCUAUAAUAAGUGCGUAACAGCUUACUCGUCAAGGUUAUAGGCUUUGAAAAUGGACAGGGCUAAGUUGAUUACCGAUACUGUAGGGUUCUGAAAAGAAAUCAAUAGAUAGGUGUUUUGUUAGGGUAGAAGUAUUUCUGUGAAGAGAUAUGGACCUGAUAAAAAUAAAAAUCCUGGCGGUAGUAAGAUCUUAGCAGAGUGAGAAUCUCUGUCACCGGAAGGGCAAGGGUUCCUUGACAAUGUAGAUCAGUCAAGGGUUAGUCGAUCCUAACCAAUAAUCUAGCAGAUUUUUUGGGAAAGGGAAACAGGUUAAUAUUCCUGUACCACUAUAAUAUGUGCGGUGACGCAAGUUUAUUUUUUGACUCUUUUAGCUAAGCUAACACAAAUUAUCUUUUGUGUCAACCAAAAUAAAUCAAAGGAGUAUUAUAAUGAUGAGAAUUUGAUUAAAUUUGGGAUGAGUAGAUCUUAUGAUUUAUUUAGCUAAUGCUUAGAGACCUUGAAAAAGAAAAUAAAAAAAAUUUAUAGUGUUCGUACCCAGAACCAACACAGGUGCCCCUGGGUGAGAAGCCUAAGGUGUGAAGGUUUAAUCUAGUUGAGGGAAUUCGGCAAAUUAGCCCUGUAACUUCGGUUUAAGGGGUCCCUACGUUAGUUGUCAUAUGAUUGCUAUUGUAGGGUGCAAUUACAAGGGAGGUCCGACUGUUUAACAAAAACUUAACCAACUGCUAGCCUGUAAAGGUGCGUACAGUUGGUGACGUCUGCCCAGUGCCAGUACUUUAAAGCCUUUUUCAAGGGGCCUAAGAGCUGGUAAACGGCGGGGGUAACUAUAACUCUCUUAAGGUAGCGAAAUGCCUUGCCGUUUUAAUGACGGCCUGCAUGAAUGGCGUAACGAGAUCUCCACUGUCCCCAACUAGAAACCACUGAACUCUCUUUCCUAGUGCAAAGGCUAGGGAUCUCCAGUGGGAAGUGAAGACCCCGUGAAACUUUACUGUAGCUUAUGAUUGUAGCAUGAAUUUUGUUGUGCAGUGUAAGUGGGAGUUGUUAUGUUGCGGUCGCCAGAUCGUGAAUAGACGUCAAUGAAACACCACUCUUCAAAAUUCGUGUUGCUUACUUUUUUUCGGAAAAGGACAGUUAUAGGUAGACAGUUUAGCUGGGGUGGCAUCCUGUUGAAAAUGUAUCAACAGGGCCCAAUGGUUGACUCAAUCGGGUCAGAAAUCCGAUGUAGAGUGUAAGAGCAAAAGUCAGCCUGAUUGGAAUUUUAAUAAUAUGAAUUCCAAAAACGAAAGUUUGGUCUAGCGAACCUCAGUACUUCAUUAAUGGGAGUCUGAGAUGACUGAAAAGUUACUCCGGGGAUAACAGAGUUGUCGCGCCCGAGAGCUCCUAUUAGCUCUAGGCGACAAAUAAUUUUUUUCAGUUCGUUCGGUUUGAACUUCCUGCAUUAGUUUAAUGUUUUAGAGUUAAGAGUAAAUCGACGGCGCGGCUUGCUACAUCGAUGUCGGCUCUU